GAUGAACGCUCGCUACAGGCUUAACACAUGCAAGUCGAGGGGAAACGGCAUUAAGUGCUUGCACUUUUUGGACGUCGACCGGCGCACGGGUGAGUAACGCGUAUCCAACCUUCCCAUGACUAAGGGAUAACCUGCCGAAAGGCAGACUAAUACCGUAUGGUCUUCACUGACGGCAUCAGAUGUGAAGUAAAGAUUUAUCGGUUAUGGAUGGGGAUGCGUCUGAUUAGCUUGUUGGCGGGGUAACGGCCCACCAAGGCAACGAUCAGUAGGGGUUCUGAGAGGAAGGUCCCCCACAUUGGAACUGAGACACGGGCCAAACUCCUACGGGAGGCAGCAGUGAGGAAUAUUGGUCAAUGGGCGAGAGCCUGAACCAGCCAAGUAGCGUGCAGGAUGACGGCCCGAUGGGUUGUAAACUGCUGUUGUAUGGGGAUAAAGUCAAUCACGUGUGAUUGUUUGCAGGUACCAUACGAAUAAGGACCGGCUAAUUCCGUG
This 492-nucleotide ribosomal RNA is filed under the name uncultured bacterium. Its description in RNAcentral is "partial 16S ribosomal RNA". It matches the Rfam family "Bacterial small subunit ribosomal RNA", at positions 28 to 507 of the family's 1533-position model. The record is from RNAcentral.